This is a long non-coding RNA of Sycon ciliatum, 781 nucleotides long. RefSeq lists it as uncharacterized. The record is from RefSeq and is a predicted model, not a curated record. The transcript has 3 exons. NCBI's taxonomy places the organism in Eukaryota, Metazoa, Porifera, Calcarea, Leucosolenida, Sycettidae.
GUUAUAUAUGAUGUAAAGGUGUCAACUAGAUAGGCGGGAUGGUAGGUGAUAGGCCGAAGGGCCGUGGAUAGAGGGGAUAGGAGUGUGAACAGCAGGUAACACUGUUACAACAUCAAUGUAAAAGAGUCCCGGGAAAUAGAGAUAGAAGAGAAGAUGAUGAAAAUGAACAUCAUGAACGUGGAUGUGAACAGCGCCUGCAAAGUUGCCGGAGAAGAUGAACUUUGCGCUGUUCUCCGAAGUGACACACGAUGAGUCUGGCGAGGCUGGAGGUACUUGUGUCCUUUCCAAGGCUUCCAAUUCCGCAGGAGUUGACUCCUGCAGAGCUUUAUCAACCUCCGCAUCGAGCAGGUCAUCAACUGUCAGGUGCGCUUGUAUUUUCUGAACCCCUGAGACAGAAGUGAUAUGUGAUGACGAACCAGACAAGACCUAAAUCAAACCCACCUGAUCCCAGGACGUCACCAACUAUGGCCGGUACGUUACUGACCCAGCCCUCUUCCCACCGCCAUCUGGGCAUCAUCCUCACUCCUUCACUCCAUCUGUCCCCCAUAUUCAACACAUUACAAGCAAAUUUCGAGGUCGGGCUUUUCUUUUAAACCACAUGUCCAACUUCCUUCCUUUUCCUGCUGUGAAUCUUUUGUAUAAAUGUUAUGUUCGUCCCCUCCUUGAAUAUGCUGUUCCCGUUUGGAUGUUUUCCGUUUCAGCCACCAUGUCCACAACCCUUGAUAAACUGCAGGCUACUGCUGCUAGAGCAUACUUUUAACUAAAUAUACAGUUUCAGCUA